GCGGCAUUUUUAAUACGAUAAGACGCUGGGACUUAUUCCACUUCAAAGUUGUUUGGAUAAAAACUUAAUUUGCGCCUAGUCAAUUCCAUUCUGGAUUUGUUGAUAAUUCACGCCUGUGUGUUUUAUAUUCACAGUUUGUUUAAGAAUGUGAAGAAGCGUGAAUCAGGUUGAAAAUACUGCACGCUUUGUGGAAGGAGAGAUUGUUGGAUAUAGUCUACUGGUUACUGUCAAAGGUAAGUGAAAAUUUAGUAAUGUAAUCGAGUACGAUGAUUGCCAAAGAGUCACGAUAUUGAGAAGUGAUAAUCGAAUUCAGUUUCGAAAUUAUUUAAAUUGUAUGGUCAGGAUUAAUUUCUCAUUCCAAGAAAGUACAGCGUGUAUCAAAAAAACGUAUAAUCCAACUUCCCCAUGUAAUUGUUGAGUUUAUCAAUUUACUCGUUUAGUAUCGGUAAAGAUCAGCUUUACAUGCAGCUGUCGAAUGAUACCUUUCUUCAAUGAUUGCGAACAAAAAUGGCUAAAUACGAUACGUUUAAACACUGCUGGUCGAAAUAACAUUUUCUCACCUCAUAAAGAUAUUAGAAACCUUUAGUUAAGAUUGACGUUUGCGGUAGACCGCUAUAACCGCAAAAGACAAACUCCAAAUUGUAUUUUGAGAUCAACUGUUAAACCGUACGAAGUUGGGCAAUUUGUGCAUUAAUAUUGAAGUAUGAAUGAGCUAUUUUAGCUCUGGAAGUACGAUUUGAAGUCUGUUGUAUUGUGGUCUAUAUUCUUCGAAUUUUCGAACCGAUUUGCCCAAAUUUCCAUGUGGAAAACAUUCCGCCUUGCAGCUUCUCUGCGAACUUCCUGUUUCGUAACGUCGUAACCACAAAAUCUUGUUGUUAAUUAAAUUGCAAGUUAGGUAAACCAUCUUUAAAUUUACCAAGCCGGAUUAUAUUCUUAAAGUUGUAUCCAAAAUAAGAAAGAUUUCAACUCUCAUACAAUAGUUUUGUAUUCAAUUUCCAUUGAUGGAAAACGCGAUUUUGACCGGUCGUUUUAAAUCGGAUAUCGUAUUCGGUCAUUUUUGGUCGCUAUGACACCAAAAAGGUAUCAUUUGACAGCUACUGUAAAGGCCUAAUAUUGAUUGCUGUGGAAAAAGUAAUCUAUGUAUACCAAUACCACGAUAAAGAUUGGUUUACGCUAUCAAAGUUUCUGUGAUCAAAGUAUAGGAAUUUCACAUAGGUAAAUUCUAAGUUUUGAAGGAUUUGUAAGAAAUGUUUGAGGGAACUGCAUGACUCCACUUAAACAACGAGUCAUUUCCCUCAAAAAUUUCUUACAAAUCAUGUACGCCAAAAAUUGACAAAGUUUUUCCCUUGAAAAGGAGCCUUGUUCCAAUGCUAAUCAUACCAGCUUUUCAACAAGGAAAUGUUUUAAAUUUGACAAGUAAUUGCGCAGUGCGUCACUGCGCACUCAUCUUCGAGCGGCCAUUGACAUUAAAUCUCGUUUGUUUUGAAAUUCGCUUUUGAAUAGAAGUGUGGUACAUCGUUGACUGUUUCAGCUGUUUUUAUUUUGUCGGAUGUAUAAUAGCAUUGAACGAAGAUCAUUAUGAAAUUGUUGACGUACUUAAAUAGCGCGGGCGCGUAAAAUGUGUCAAGGAAAGAUUGAUUGAUUGAGAUGUCGUACACACGAGCAAGUAAAGUCGUCAAGAAGUUUGUCAAAGGAAAACUUGAUCGUCUGUUCUGGGCUUUAGAUUACCUUUUUUGAUACACCCUGUUUAUACAACUAAUUGAAUUAAGAUUGUCCUUUAUACAUAAGUCAAAAACCGCAAAAUCCACGACUUCUAUGCGCAAAAAGCGCAAUGGAAGGGCUUGAGGAGGAUGAAUGAUGAUGAUAAUGCUAAACUUUAUUUAACCACGUUAACAUUGUCAGCUAAAGCUUGUUUCCACGAUGGGCUUGAGUGAACAAAAGUAAAUUUACAAUAUAAGUUAAAGGUAGUAAGAUACAUGCAUAUGUGAAAAUAUAGGCCUACUAUAAUAUACGUUAAUUUACUAUUUACAACCAUACUUUAAUAGCGGUGGGUAGUGAUUUUUCUUUCGGAAAUUGAUAGCGUUUUGCUUUCUCUAAUAAUUUCUGGCAAAGAGUUCCAUAUGAAAGCUCCGUUAUACACGAAACUCUUUUUCAAACUGGUUGAGCUGUCACGAAGAUUAUGAUUUAAUAUUUCAUUUUCUAAAGUAAAUAUAUCUUUGAGGCAAUUUGGCCCCAUAUUAUGAUUUAUGAAGUAUCUUAAACAUCGUUUUCGCUUUAGUUUUUAAUCGUUGUUCAUUAAUCGUUUUCGCUUCUGUAAUCGAGUAUGAAAGGGAACAUAGCCAUUGAAUGUGUGUUUUGCAAAAUGCUACGAGCAAUAUACGAAAGAGACUAAUAUGUCCAUAUUACUUUCCGCCCUGCGGUUGUGAGUUUUGACCUUCGGAGGAUAAUGCGUACGCAAAAAUGCAUUCUGACAAUGAAACCAAAAUAUUACAUUUGUCGAAAGUGCAAAUAAACGUUGCAAUGGACUCUUCGCAUACCAAUUUAAGUUGGUCUAUUUAGAACGCCCAACGAAGGAUGGGUCUUGCUAGACUUCUAGGACGGUUUAAAAAAGCAGGUCGAGCUGUUCGGUAUAAAUAAAGCUAAUUUAACAGCAGGCAUUGCCGGAAGGACUAACAUGUAUGCACGCGCCUUUUGCCAUGCAAGCGCCUUUUUCAUGAUGAAGAAAUUUAAGAAAAGAUUUAUAUAAGGACAUGCACGUUAAGUUUAUCUCACAGAUUGACUGCUUUUUGUCUGGAUAAUAAAUGUUACUGUUAUGAAAUGCAGGCGUGUCUUAUGCUUUCAUCCGCUGUUGUAUGUGUGUCUGUUUGUCUAUCAGCACGAUAACGUAAAAAAAUAUCAAACGUAUUAAUACCAAAAUUUUUACGACUAAUGGACAUAAAGGCGGAUCUCCACUAGACGAUUUUUGAGACGAUUUUUAUGACGAUCGUCAUAAAAUUCGCGACGAUUUACGGAUUUAGAGAGAAUUGGAGAUGUACUAGCAGCAAGAAAAAAAGCGCGGAAUCUUAUUGGUUAAAAAUGUGGUGAUCGUCUGACGCUCGACGGAAAGUAGAAGUAAAUCCUACUUUUCGUCGAGCGCCAGACGAUCGCUCUUCGAACAUUUUUUUCAAUUGCGCAUGUGUCGCGAACUGUUUUGACGAUCGUCUAAAAAGUCGUCUAGUUGAGAUCCGCCUUUACCCAAGGACAAAUUGGUUAAACUUGUGUUAAAUUUAGAUGAAAAUUUGAUGCUUUUUGGGGCGGAGUAAAUUGAAUACGUAAUUAGCUCAUUGUAUAAUUUAUGCAUGAUACAUAACUUAAUUCGUUGGCGGUAUGCGGUCCCCGUGUGCCAUCUAGUUUAUUCUUGGUUUAGUAGAGAUACGCGAAAAGAAGCCCCUUGCUUGGCCUGUUCAAGAGACCCACAGAACUGGUCGUAUGUAGGAUUGUCAUUCUGGCGUAUGAAACACCACUAAUAUUCCUGCCCAUGUGACGUCUUUAAACGUAUAUUUAUUCGAGUGCGUGCGCAUAUUAUGCAGAUGAGCCGUAAUUGAUUUAGGUUCUUUUCUGCGUGUGGCUAGUUGAUCCGCAAAAAGCCAGGAAACGACGUCUUCGCUCGAUUCAGCCUCUAAUUGUUUUGAUCUUGUAAAGCUAUUUACUUUCCCUCUAACUGAGCUGAGGCCUCCCAUGUAGAUUUUUCAGUAGCUAUGGCCGCCAUUUCCAUGAAAUCGUGUAGUCGUCGAGAAGCAUUAUCUUCAAAUUCCUCACAAUGGUUUUAAAAUUAAAGCCCCGGUCAAAUGAGAGUUAGCAGUCACGCAUUGUUACAGGGGACCAUUUCAAGCUCUAGAUGAACAAAAUAAAGGUUUGACGAAUGUUCUAACCAUGCUUUAACUUAAAUAGAAUACAUGAUAGUGUUGAGAAAGCAUUAAGAACAGCUAACUGAAUUUCCUACAUUGAUACUGAAAAGUAGCGAAACAUUCAUUUCCCCAUUUUCAUAAAAUGUUUUAACUAUGAAAUAGACACUUCGUGAAUUUGCUAGCGCUGGCAACGAGAACUACUUGUUUACAAUGGAUUUCAUUUCCUGCCUCGAUUUCAAGCUAUCGUGUCGUGUGCAUUCACGCCAAUUCGGGAAGUGUCUAUCUUACUGUAAAUUUGUAAACAAGAGGGCACGCGUGGAGACUGCACAUUCCAUCAGCGAAUUUACUCUGCUCCGCAAAGCGAGACAAGCUUUUGCUAAUUCUUCAUUCAAAUUUGACCGAAAUUUUAUCAAGUUGUCCUUAGGCAAUGGCCAUCUGUUCCACAAAGUUAUUCACUGUGAGUCAAACACACGCACGUGCAAUCUAACAAACGCGAAUGAAAAAAUGUUUUUAAGUACUAUAUCCAACACGAGUAAGUGUUCUUCCUCUGAUUUCUAAAUACAGACAAAGGCGAAGCCGAGUUUUCAGUUUAACCAGCUUGUCUGUACUGUAUUUAGAAAUCAGAGGAUGAACACUUACUCGUGCUGGAUAUAGACUAUAGUACUUCUCAAACUCAUUGAUACUUUAAGAGAAAAUCGAGUUUAAAGUCGACGAAAAACGGCUGUAAUCUUCCCGUCUUAUUUCUAAAUACAGAAUUAAUAUGCAUUUCUUUUGAAUUUCCUUCAUGAAUUAUUAAUGAGUUUGAGAAUUCAAUUCACUCAAUUCCCGAUUUCGACCGGCCAUUUUGGAUCGGAUAUUAUAUGGCCAGCUUUCAUCGCAGUGAUGCCAAAAAAGUCGCAUUUUACUGCUAAAUACCUAAUCUUUAUUCGCAUAUGGAAAGAGUUCGUCCUAUUUCACGACGCCAUGCCAAAUUCUGCCUUUACACCCUUUUAAUACAUCCUUAUUAUACAUCCUUUAUAAUUGCAGUGACCUUGCAUGAAAUUGGCUCGUGUUUACUUCAAUACGGAUAAAAUGGUUUAAAAUAAGGAUUAUACCUUAACGGAUAAAGCCUGCUGAAAUGUAAUGUCUGGAAAUAUAUUUUUUAUGCUCACUUUUGGACAUGAUGGCAUGCACGCAAAGAUGACGGCACAGAGUAAGUACAUACAGAGGUCUCACUUCAGGUUAUAAAUUUAGCGUAAGGGAUGUUUUCAGUUCGCCAUGUUCUUAGCAAGUGCCUUAUAAGCGAGUCCGUCACCCCCCUGAAAACAUAUUGGAAUUUAAUGUUCCAGGGGGGGUGAAUGCCUCUCUUUGGGGCACUUGUUAAGAACAUGGCCGCCAGCUAUUUUGGUAAAAACUACCUUACGGUUUUCCCGCAGAAGUGAGACCUCUGUGUGUAUAAGUACUCUGUGAUAACAGCUAUCAGCGCAGUAAAAUUCAUCACAUGACACAAAAGAAUAUCUCGUUUGAUAAUAAUGUAUCAAUGAUAAGAAUAUCUAAUUUGAUAAUAAUAAUUUUUGAAAAUUUUGAAUGAAAUCAAACCUUAUUCAACGUUAUCCAACAUUAUCCAACGUCAUCCAACGUUAUCCAACAUUAUCCAACGUUAUCCAACUUUAUCCAACGUUCAACAUUAUCCAACGUUAUCCAACAUAGUGUUGAAACAACCCAGUAGUGUUGCAUGAUGCCGGACCAACAUGUUGGAUUCAUUUUAACUCCCGAGGGACCCUCGGAAAUACCAAGCUGUGUGUAAAAGCCCGGAUAAAACGAGGAUGCGAGUGCGUGCAUGAGAGUUAGCAGUCACGCGAUCUUGGUUAGCUGUUCUUAAUGCUGUCCCAACACUAUCAUGUAUUCUAAGUUAAAUCGUAGCUGAAACACUGGUCCAAACUUAAUUUUGUUAAUCUAGAGCUUGAAAUGUCCCAUGUAACAGUGCCUGACUGCGUGACGUUCUUGUUUUUCACAAUAUCAAAGUUUCUGUGAUCACAGUAGGAAUUGUGCAUGGGUACAUUCUAAGUUUUGAAGGAUUUGUAAGAAAUAUUUGAGAAAACCGACUCAGUGUUUAACAUUGAAUCGGUUCCCUCAAGCAUUUCUUGCAAAUCCUUCAAAACUUUGAAUUUACCUAUGCAAAAUUCGUAUUGUGAUCACAGGAACUUUGAUAGGAAUGGACCUUUCCCCUUAUAACUAAAAUUUCGAUCUAGACAAAAAUUUCAUCACAGCUUGAAAGAGCAUCACAAAAUUAGUAAUAUUCCAAAGUUUUGUUGUAAAAUCUUGUAAAAUGCGGAUAAUAUAGCCUUGCGAAGUUUGCCGUUUUUCAGUCAUUUUGUAUUACAAACGGGAAAUUGACAUACGAUUCGGGUGUUGGGGCUGCAAUUUCCCGUUUGUAAUGCAAAAUGAAUGAAAAUUGCAAACUUCGCAAGGCUCUAUUUUCCUCAUUUUACAACAUUUCGCAACGAAACUUUGGAAUAUUACUAAUUUUGUGAUGCUCUUUCAAGCUGUGAUGAAAUAUUUGUCUAGACUUGCCUAGAUCAAAAUUUUGGUUAUAAGGGGAAAGGUCUAAUGGGUAAAUUCUAAGUUUUGAAGGUUUUGAACAUCAUGAAUCAGUUCCCUCAAGCAUUUCUUACAAAUCCUUCAAAACUUACCUGUGCAAAAUUCCUACUGUGAUCACAGGAACUUUGAUAGUGUAAACCUGCCUCCAAAAGCCCGAAGGGUAACUUGUGGUAUCGUCUAGCGGUUAUUGAAGGGGAAACGUAUAAAUGCGUGCAAAUUAAAUCUAUGUUGUUCUGUAAUUCGCUUGCGUGUCUAUACAAUCCCCACAGCUCGACGCUGAGCUAACAAGAUACUGUAGCUUACUUUGUCAAAUUCUAAUUAUUUUAUUAUACAUCUUCCUGUACCUAUAGACUGGAACAUCUCAGCAGGGUUUGUCAUCCUUUGGGCUAUACCACACAAGAUUUGCAAUCACACGCGAUAAGGGUUGAAAGUGUUCACUGUUGAUCUUCAGAGUACACCGGCAACGAUUGAGAACAACGUGAAACCUAUAUGCAAGUUUGCAAAGGACGUUUGAUUGUAAAGAACGGAAGGAGCUAUACCAUCAUUCCAUUUGCAAAAUUGUCUUUAACCACCUCAAUUUCUUGGUAGAUUUGACAGCACAAAGGGUGAGUUUAUUUGGAUUUUAUAUUCCGGUUUUAUUUGUUUGGCUAAUAUAACAAAAUCUAUAUAUUGUUAUCAUAUUGUCUUGGUUUCUAUGAACUAUUACCCGAGAAAUAUUGAGGUUUUUUAUAUGUUACGUAACACGCGUUCAAAACUAAGGCCUCCCAGUCAAAUAAGAAUGAGCUCGGAGAAUGAGAGUUGGAAGUCACGCAUUGUUACAGCCUACAGGGGACAUUUCAAGCUCUAGAUUAACAAAAUAAAGGUUUGACGAGUCUUCCAGUUACCUUUUAACUUAAAUAAAAUGCAUGGUAGUCUUGUAUGGGAAAACAUUAAGAACAGCUAGCUAAUGUCGCAUAUAACUGCACGCCACGCGCUUAACGAAUAUAAUAAUGCCACUUGUACAUUCAACAUUUUUAGCUUUUAAUAUUUUUCUCAAUCGGCAAACAAACUUAAAAGCAUGUUUAGUGUUUUAUAUCUGUAAAAUAAUGCUAUAAUGAAGAGGUUUAGAUUGUAUAUACGCCAAAGAGAAAAUUGUGUCUGAAAUUCAGUAAGUUUUGCUUAUAUAUUGUUGCAUGCGGGUAUGCAUCAAUCUGAAAGCAUCAUUGACAGUUUUUUUUGUAUAUAUUUUAUUUUUCUCAACCAACAGAUUUAUCUAAAGAAGUUGCUAACUGUAUAAACCAGAAAAUAAAGCUAAAACAAAGUAGUUUUGAGAGGUACGCCAAAAAGAUUUUAGGUUUUGAGCACUUUUCAUCGCGCAAAUUUGUGACAUAGAAAAAAAAAACGCGUUGACGUUUUGAGCGACGGCCCAUCGUCAGGGCCGCUUGUUCAAGGUAGUUAGAUUAGCGCUAAUCCUCGUUUAAAAUUUAACCAGCUGUUUUAGUUUAUGUAUUCCUACACCUCUGUGGAUUUCGAAACUUCAUAGAGAAGAAAACUUCUAUACUGAUCCGGACAAGAUUUUUGAACAAAUAUUUCCAUGCAUGCAUGCACAAUGGACCGUUUGCAUUAUAGACUAAAUUUUGAUCUAGACAAAAAAUUCACUACAGCUUGAAAGAGCAUCACAAAAUUAGUAAUAUUCCAAAGUUUCGUUGCGAAAUGUUGUAAAAUGUGGGUAAUAUAUAUAGCCUUGCGAAGUUUGCCGUUUUUCAGUCAUUUUGUAUUACGCACGGGAAAUUGACAGCCCAAUCGGGUGUUGGGGCAUCAAUUUCCCGUUUGCAAUACAAAAUGACUGAAAAUUGCAAAUUUCGCAAGGCUAUAUUAUCCGCAUUUUACAACAUUUCGCAACGAAACUUUGGAAUAUUACUAAUUUUGUGAUGCUCUUUCAAGCUGUGAUGAAAUGUCUAGACUUGUUUAGAUCAAAAUUUAGUCUAUAAUGCAAAUGGUCCAUUGAUAAACAAGCGAAGUUUGCUGAGAAGUUGAGAACUGUUGAGAAGUUUGCCUUGAAUUUCAGGAAACCAAGGGUUAUGCUAAUCGGCUUUCCAAUAACUGGCCCUGCAGGAGGUUAGCGCAAUAGGGAAUUUAAGCUUCACGUUUCCGGGAACAGCAAACGGCAGGUUCGAUCUUUCUUGGCAAAAUUUUCGUUAAACGUUUUUCCGGUUUCAUAUUUUCUUUCUUGUGUCGAAAGAAUAGUCAUGCAUUGCAGUUUUAAAACAGCAAGUUCAUUUACUCUUUAUUGCCUGAUAUACCGUAAUUUUUUUCUUUGCCUGGCGUUUGCCGUUUGACGUAUAACGCGAAGCUUAAACUCUCUAUUAUGACUAAUGUUGACUGUUGGUGUACUAAUAAUCAUCUGUCACUCGAAACGUCGAAGCUUUUUUAAUCUUUUUCAAAUAUACUUCAGAAACAAACAACGACAGUCGCGCUUAUACUAACUACACUGCAUGGUUUCCGACGUUUGAGAUAUCACGCGUAAAGAUAUUUUAUGCUAUCGUUCUUUGGCGGGUAUAUUGUACGAUGGCUGGAGAAGUUAGGAAAUCGCCCUGGAGCAAUGUCACCUAUAGCUCCAUAGUGUAAGGCGCUAACUCCAAAUUAAGACUGCAAAACUUCAUUGAAUUCAGGAGUUACAUGCCAACUACGAAAAUCGUGUGAAAACAGUAGAGUUGCCUUUCUAAACAUAGAGCUACUGACUAACAACUCCAAAAAUCAUGUGCAUUUAUAGCUAUCUAAACCUAUAGAGUUACUGCUGGCUAACAAUCUGAGUUGCUAUAUAGCUAUCUAAACAGAGAGUUACUGACUAUAACAACUCUAAAAAUCAUCACCAGCUACAGUCAUGGCAAAGAUUAUGUGGACACUAAAGUAUUACAUGUUCAUUUUCACGUAUUAGCAUCUUUCUACCCUUCGCUUCGACAGACUAUAGCACCAGAGUAGUAUCGUCUUUGACCUUCACACCCAGCCAUAAAAUUAUUUUCUCGCCCACUCUUCCCGUCCGUAGGAUAACAGAGACGUAAGGAUAUAGUUCCGUUUAAAAAUUCAAUUCAGUGAAAUACCGAAGAAAUUUGCAGAAGCAUUCAAUUUAUAGUCGAUUUUUUAGCGAAUCUCUGAUAAAUCGUAUAUGUGUUUUGUUUUGAUGUGUUCCCGAAAUACGUCACGCCGACGGUAAAAGGUAUUCUCGAGUCGCCCCAGUUCGUUGAUGUUCACGGUAACGCGAAAACUUCCCAAAAAUAACCCGAAAUAAUCGAAUACACAAAUUUCCCGAUCAUGCAUGACAUAAACACUUUAAACUUUCUUUGUCUUUCUUCGUUAGAAGAUUGACGGUUUUAAUUAUUAAGGAAGGUCAAACGUAGAUGUAUUUCCGAGGACUUCAAAAACAUGAAAUAAAGACUGACUUUUUCGCCUCUGCGAUCAUGCCGAAAGGCAUGCAUUAAGUCCCAAAUAUGUGUUUUUAUUUGUACGCAAGCAUUGUAUAAAAUGGUUAGCAUUCCCUUUUAACAAGCAUAUAAGCACACUGAGAGUGGCAAGUGCUAAUAUUGGUUCCCCUUAUAAGUAUGUUGAUGAAAUAAAGUAUAUUUCUUAUGUCUCUCGAAGUUUCGCCGAAGUAGCUUAUACUUUACACUUAACUAUUGAAUAUUUCACAUCUUGAUAAUCUCUCGAGAGGGAAUUCCUGCGUGUGGCGUUCUCAAGCAUCCUUCUAUAAGAACCUGGUGUAUGUAAUCGAAUCAGUGUGAUCAUAUAAAAGAUAUAUUAACGUGACGUUACUGUGGAAAUAUAUGAACAAAUGUUGUAGGAAUCAUAAACAGAUAUGCCACAUGGCGAUGAAAUUUUGUGAGGUUGUCAAAUGAUCUAUAUUCCCUUUAACAUCGGAUGAAAGACAGUCUUGUCCUGACAAAAGAGUUCUUGGCUUGUUGUUCUUUCAGUUUCACUUGAAAAGGAAUAUUCUGGAACUUUUUUUAGACCUCUCCAACCCGCAAGAGUUGGAAAAAAACGGUCUACAGUGUACAGUCAGACUGAGUUCAGACUGAGUUUAUCUUCGACCUUCCUUCGUCGUUAUUUUGAUCCGAAUUGGCCUGAGUUCAAUUGGCAUUCUUUUUCAGUUUCUGGAAAGAUUCUAUGGAUUCAAUCUUGUUUGUUAUGGAAUAUUUAUGCUAGACAAUUGUGAAAGGUAGGACAAGAGAAAUGUAUGUGUAUAUACAUGCUAUAUAUGCAUCGAGAAAGGGUUAUCUUGUCACAAUGAUUUUAUGGAAUAGCAGCCCAUUCAACAGUCAGUACAUAGGGUAGAAUGUUGCAUGAGAAUUUGUGUUCGUGCAGGCUAUUCCCUUGAGGAAACAGUGUUUCUUUCAUAUUCUUCAGAAGGAGUUGUUAUGAAUCAUCAUUUUAAUGAAAUCUGCACUCAAGGUCAUGAUCUUGUACUAAACAUCGAAUUCUGUACAACAGAUCAUUUUAAAACAGCCCACGUUCAAGAACGUGUACCAUUCCCGUAUGAUCUAACCAUACUUAAUCUGUAGUCUGCGUGACUUUGCAGAGCUAUACUCUUUGUGACUUUGUGAAAAGGUCUCCGCGAGGUUUGAGACAAACAUACUGUACUGUGAAGGUGCCUCUUACACGUGAAUCAGGCUCGUGAAAAUAACAAAGCCCCAGGCCUUUUCAGGUCUGGGCAAAUAUCAGCAUUUUGUUUAUCUUCACUCGAUAGAACUAACUCUACAGGGGUUUGGUAGAUGGAAAUUUUCGAGUGUGAUUUUUAUACAUUUAUUAAACCUAACAAAGGAACAGCUCGGAAAAAUGAAACUAUAGACCUUCUGGCAGAAAUCGAAUCUGCGACCCUGCGAUUCCAGUGCAGCGCUCUAACCAACUGAGCUACAGAGGCCAGCUUUCGGGCUGUAUAUAAACCACAGGUUUAUGUCUGUGUACAGCUAUUUCAGUGAAGGUUGUCCCCGAGCAAAGCGGAAAAGUCGAAUACGAGCGCGAAAGGCUUGCUGGGAAUCGCUAAAAAAUUAAUGAAUUUUUUAGCGAUUCCCAGCAAGCCUUUCGCGCUCGUAUUCGAGUUUUCCGCUUUGCUCGGGGACAAACUUCAUUGAAAUAGCUGUAUACUAAGAUGUAUGGGCAAUGUAAGGUGUAUCUCACUCCGAAUAUUAACAUCUUGUAAACUGUCGAUAUGAGCUAUUGAAACUGCCAAGACUAUAAAUUCAAGAUGAUAUUUCGACUCUGUUUGAAAGUCAUUGUAUGUCAAACCUAGUUAUUGUUAAGCGUGCUCAGAUCUUAAAUAGGAAGAUGACGUCAUCAGUUAAAAAGUGAGAACAAACGAAUAGGAGAUUUCAAACCGCAUUUCUGGCUUAUUAAGUUUUACUUCUGCGAAACAACAACAGAUCUGGAUUUUUUAUCUCAAAUAUAAUCUCCUAUUGUUGUUCUCAUUAUUCUCGCUUUUCAACUGAUGACGUCAUCUUCCGCUUUGGUAUCUGUAAAGAUCGUAAACAAGUCUGACAAUGACUUUGAAAUUGAGUGGAAAUAUUGUACCUUGAAUUUUGUGUCCUGUUUGCGAUAUCUUGAGUCUAAUGACGACAGUAUUUGCAUGAGCACCACAAAUGACAAAUUUACUGUGUAUAUAUAAAUUGCAUUAUAGACUAAAUUUUGAUCUAGACAAGUCUAGACAAAAAUUUCAUCACAGCUUGAAAGAGCAUCGCAAAAUUAGUAAUAUUCCAAAGUUUCGUUGCAAAAUGUUGUAAAAUGCGGAUAAUAUAGCCUUGCGAAGUUUAACGUUUUUCAGUCAUUUUGUAUUACGCACGGGAAAUUGACAGCCCAAUCGGGUGUUGGGGCAUCAAUUUCCCGUUUGGAAUACAAAAUGACUGAAACAUGCAAAUUUCGCAGGGCUAUAUUAUCCGCAUUUUACAACAUUUCGCAACGAAACUUUGAAAUAUUACUAAUUUUGUGAUGCUCUUUCAAGCUGUGAUGAAAUUUUUGUCUAGACCAAAAUUUAGUCUAUAAUGCAAAUGAUCCAUUGGUGAACCACUAGUGGCCUCUCCUUUCCUCGUGAUUUUGCUAACUAAUGAAGUCACUGCAAUGGCUGCCUCAAGUCAUAUUAUCAAGCUUUCGUUGGUAAGAAUGCAACUACCUGAAAAAUAUAAGGAGAAUUUCGACGUUUCGAGCGAAGGCCCUUCGUCUGGAGUUAGCAGCCAAACAUUCUAAAAUUCAUUGAGGAAUGUGUGGCAAGCUGUAUUUUUCAAGUCACAUACCAAACGGCAUUUGCUUCAUAGCAUAACUAUUUUCGACACUUAACCGUUUGUAAAGGAUUUGACGGAUUUAAAAAUCUCUCAUUAAAAAUAUUCUGGCUUCAAAAUAAAAAGGACGCCCUAUAUCCAGUGCUAUUUUGUAGACCAAUAGUUAUAUGCAGUAUAGCAGAAUCGGACUGAUUCGCACAAGGCUGUGUUAGAAACACCCCUUCAAUUAACAUGUGAAAAAAACAUUGGCAUGGUUCCCAAGAUACAUUGUACAUCACAAUAAACAAACAGAAAAAUAUUUUUCUUACAUAUGAAAGAAACGUUAUGCUGUUGCUGUGGGCAAUAAUGUCGAUAAUGAUGAUAAUAAGCACUUACAAAUGGUCAUGCUCAAAGCGUGAUUAGUGCUGCCUCAUUGGUUCGUUUUGAAAUUCUCUCAUCGUGCCGUUAAUUUUGAGAGACAAUUAGGGGUUAAGGAUUCUGUAUUGACUUUGGGUGGCAUUACAGAGAACAUCUCUUAAAAUUGGUUGGCAGUUUUUAAACUGUAAGAUAUAUAAUUGGCAAGGACUGUAAUAUACUUUGUCGUUUCUGUGGAUAGUGUAAGGUAAAGAUGUUUAUUUGUUGCGAAUUUUUUUUCAUAAUAUUGAAUAGGAAUUAUAAAGAACGUGUAAUUUACAGCAAUUUGCAGCUUAGCAUAUAAUAUACUGCUCUGCCCACCUUAGAGAAAAUUGUUUGCUUAAACGUAAUUGACGUAUAGUUGAUUUAUAUCUGUGCGAUGAAAUGAUAGUGUUCAAAAUGUAUCUUUUUAUACAGUGAGAGAGGAAUGAGGAAUUAUCAAUAAUAAGAACAAUGCUAAGUCGUCGAACCCGCGUGUGAGAUAAUUCCUUAGGCACUCGUGGGUACAAUAGUUAAAUAAUAAUUAGAACCGUUUUUAGGGCCUGUUUACGAGAUUUUUGCUGCGGUUUUACAGGUGCGAUUUUCGUCUUCUGAUGCAUGUGAACGAGCGCAUGAGUCACGAACCUUCAGACCAGGGUACAUCAGUGGGACUUCUACUCAGAACAUUUAUAACUCGUCUACUCGUUCACAUGCGUCAGGAGAAGAAAAUCGCAGUACAAAUUGUAAGUGUAUAAAUGGGCCUUUACCGUGGGAAUUUUGGCCUGAGCCAAGCCAAAGCAAGGCCAGACGUACAGCUAUAAUGGACUAUUUGCAUUAUAGACUAAAUUUUGAUCUAAACAAGUCUAGACAAAAAUUUCAUCACAGCUUGAAAGAGCAUCACAAAAUUAGUAAUAUUCCAAAGUUUCGUUGCGAAAUGUUGUAAAAUGCGGAUAAUAUAGCCUUGCGAAAUUUGCAAUUUUCAGUCAUUUUGUAUUCCAAAUGGGAAAUUGAUGCCCCAACACCCGAUUGGGCUGUCAAUUUCCCGUGCGUAAUACAAAAUGACUGAAAAACGGCAAACUUCGCAAGGCUAUAUUAUAUCCGCAUUUUACAACAUUUCGCAACGAAACUUUGGAAUAUUACUAAUUUUGUGAUGCUCUUUCAAGCUGUGAUGAAAUUUUUGUCUAGAUCAAAAUUUAGUCUAUAAUGCAAAUGAUCCAUUGCGAUACGUUUAUACAUUGUUUAUACUUUGGCAUAUGGCAUGCCUGUCCGAGACAGCAAAAUGCUCGCAGUUUAAACACGGGUUAAGACGGAGUAUAAUUGAACUAACUUUAUAUAUAAUGACAGGGAUUAAUACAAUAGACUCCAUACUACCACAAGAAGAUUGAGUUAUAAAAGGAGAUCCCUACCUCACUUCCACCAAAAGCCCCCCCCCCCCCUCCGCCCGUAAAAUUCUUGAUUUUGUUUCCAUGAAAUACUAUUUCCCCCAUUCAGGCAGCACUUUUAAGCAAACAAGUCUAGUUCAUGUAAACGAGUUUAAAGGUGUGGUAAAAAAUAUACAGCGAGCAAGUACUUUCUUCCUUUUUACAGUUAAUUAUUCACAAUCGCCGUUUUUUUACUGUAUACCGGUGGCAGAAAAGUACUUGUAUUAAUUCCUGACUGGACGGCCCUGCCCUAUCAGUUCUAAGUAUGUAGAGGUCCUAUAUUGGUCCAGUGUAAAGCGAUGAGAUGAUAUCAUUUCGUGUUAGAGAAUGGCGGAAAAUACCAAUAUUAACCAGUUUAAUUCUUGUCGAGGUCUCUAUUAUAUGCACAUUGAAAAAAUUGUCUGGCCUAGAAAAAGUUGUCGAAACUUUGGGGUAACAUUAAUCCUCAGGAUAUUUUUAGCAAAUUGCUCUUUUAAAUACUAGGUUAGGUUAGUUUGCUGUGUACGUAAUAUUUAUGAUUGCGAACCCUUGAAAAGUUUAAUUUGAAGUUCAGCGAAAAAUAAAAAAUUGUAAGACACUUGAUAUAUUGGGCCAAUUGUUGACAUGGUACACGCAUUUACGGGUUAUUUAUAUAGGGAUAGUGCUUUCACUUGAGAUUAGAGUGUCACAAAUAUGAUUUUUGGUAUGUGUAAUAUUUGGGUCAUUCUGUGGUUAACUUUUUCACAGUCAAAGUUUCCAGAUAUGAUGUCAUUAGAUGGAAUUUUGUGUAGUGUGCAAAAAGAGGAAUCUAAUUUACAAUUCAUCUUAUGACGUCAUAUCCGGAAAUUUGACAGCGAAAAAAAAGUUGUUCAAGAUGAGGUUUUUUGCUAUAAAUAUCUAUUACAUUUCUUCUCCGGAUGACUCAUCAUCUAUCACACAUUACAAAACAUCAUAUCAUUGGGGUUAGUCGCAAAUAGUUUUAUAUACAGAGAAGUGUUGACUAUUAUGCGUAUAUUAUGAGAACAUUAUGCGAGAUUUUACCUGACAAUUAGGGGACCGGUCAUUACUUAUGGCAGGGGGUGACGCCAAAGAGAAAAUGGUUGGGUAAACAAAAUUUUGAGUGAGUAAAAGGUUGGGUAAAUGAAACACAAAACAACUCAAGGGUUGGGUAAUAAAAAUUUAUUGUCAUUUCCAAAGCAUGACUCACUUCAGAUAUUGAAGACUAAAAAGCAAUGUCAACAGUCAUAUGUCAGUACAAUAUGUAAAUCAAUCAGAGUCAUUAUCUUGAUCAUUCUCCGAUUGGUCCACAGGCGGCCCAGACGUGUAUUAGUGUAUAGUAAAUAUAUCAUUAUAGAAUAUACUACACAGUAAAAUUUGUAAUGAAUUUUAUAUUUUAAAAUCAUAUUUACUUGCCUACUUUGAUUGUAUGUGAUCGUCUUUUAUUUCUGAGCGACUUUACAUUCGAUGCCUGCGACUGUCUUCAUAGGUGAUAGUAUUGAAAGCAAAGGCUAACGAUUCCAGUUCUCAAACAGCCGACACGAACAAUUCAAAUCGAAAAAUAUCCCCUUCAAAUUGCUUUCUUCGCGGUAAAACUUUGCCAGCGUAUAGAAUAAACACCCAUCUUCGAACAUACAAUGCAAUAUUAACACGUCCUAUAAUUUUUGCAAUGGAUUUUUAGCGAAAUGUUUCGAGACUAAAAUUCUAUGGAACUUAGAAAGCCCGAUAAUUACUACGGCGCCUGCUUGGCCACCUAGCCUCCUUUACCGUUUGGAUUUUCAGGGGGGGUUGAAUAAAAAACACCUAUUUCCGGCAACAGCCAGCCAGUCAACGUCGCGAUACCGACUGUUUACAAUAUUUGAAAUCUGAUAUUGUAAUUUAUCAACAACAAAACUUUUUCGAUCGAUCGAUCGUAUAGUAUAAGAUAGAAAGACAGCUUUUGCAAAUUUACAAUAUCAGAUUUCAAAUAUUGUAAACAGUCGGUAUCGCGGCGUUGACUGGCUGGCUGUUGCCGGAAAUAGGUGUUUUUUAUUUGACCCCCCCCUGAAAAUCCAAACGGUAAAGGAGGCUAGGUGGCCAAGCAGGCGCCGUAGUAAUUAUCGGGCUUUCUAAGUUCCAUAGAAUUUUAGUCUCGAAACAUUUCGCUAAAAAUCCAUUGCAAAAAUUAUAGGACGUGUUAAUAUUGCAUUGUAUGUUCGAAGAUGGGUGUUUAUUCUAUACGCUGGCAAAGUUUUACCGCGAAGAAAGCAAUUUGAAGGGGAUAUUUUUCGAUUUGAAUUGUUCGUGUCGGCUGUUUGAGAACUGGAAUCGUUAGCCUUUGCUUUCAAUACUAUCACCUAUGAAGACAGUCGCAGGCAUCGAAUGUAAAGUCGCUCAGAAAUCGAUCACAUACAAUCAAAGUAGGCAAGUAAAUAUGAUUUUAAAAUAUAAAAUUCAUUACAAAUUUUACUGUGUAGUAUAUUCUAUAAUGAUAUAUUUACUAUACACUAAUACACGUCUGGGCCGCCUGUGAUUGGUCAAGAGGCAAAUGGUGUCUCCAAAGAAAGUACAUGUGCAGACGACAUGAAACAUUAGAUUGCAGAAAAUGACACAAGCAGUUAUCAAACUUAUGUCACACUGAAAUGGUAAAGGACAUGUGUGACAACUGAACGGUAGCCUUUUGUAACGUUUUUGGCCAGGGGUAUUUCAUUUUUUAAAUUAUAUUUGUAGUUGGUAAAAAAAAUUUGAUUUUAAUGGUUGGAUCAACAGAAUUUUUACCAAGAAACACAUUUCUCUAAUUCGGUGCCAUCCUCCGCUAUAAAUCAGUAAUGAACUGUCCCUUAAUACUGGAUGAAUAAUGAAUGCGGAAACAGCGAUAGAUAUAGAAUACCCGUCCAUUUUGACAUCUAACACUUAUUAAUACCUUAAUAGCAUUUUUUUGCAAUUUCGUGAUAUUUUGUCAUUUCGUGAGUUUGAGUGAGUGAAAUUUAUACUGUAACUAUGACGGGGUAAUUUUAAGAGCAUCUCUCGAGUUCUGAUAUUGAUAUAGUAUAAUUAAACUAUUAUACCAGGAUGUGUUCAAAACGUGAUGAACUCGCGAUAUUCGUCAGUUGCAUGCAAAUAUUGUUAGCAGGUUUUCGCCAUGUUGUCCAAUGACACCGUGGGUGCAUAGCAACCCAUUUUCGUGUACGUGGUUAAAAAAAACAUGGCGCUUGAUAUCAGUUGUCAGAUGCUCAUAAUUUGCUGUUGUUUCGACAAAAAGUAUCGAAACUUAUGCAACAGAUAUAGUUAACAGCAAGUGACAUUACGUUUUGGGGUAUUCAACAAAUAUCACAGCUUGCAAGUUGGUGUUGGAUGGCCGCCUAUAGCUAGAUUUUAUAGCAUAUAUAUAGGCCUAUACCUUGACUGCGUUAUACGAACUCUCAUCCAUUCUCUUCAUUUUUAUACUUGACAGUAAGUCUACAUAUUAUAUAUUGUUGAUCAGUCUAUUUGGGUAUUCGGGAUCCUUCGCUUUCCCAAAAAAAAACAUAAUUUCAGAUAUCUAUAUCUCAAAUCUUCAAUGUAUAGGUCGUAUUCUACAAUAAGUUGCCAUGGUUUGUGUUUAAACUACCUGAAGAAAUAUCUCAAACGUUAGUAUACCUAUAAUAUCUCAAACGUUAGGUAGUAUUCCACAGUAAGUUCCCGUGGUUUGUGUCUGAACUACCUGAAAAAAAAUAUCUCAAACGUGAUGGUCCAGUUUAGGUAGUAUUCUAUACACUAAGCUGUCGUGGUUUGUGUCUAAACUGUCUGAAAAAGAUAUCUGUAACGUGAUGGUCUAGUGUUCGUAUUCUAAUAUAAGCUGCCGUAGUUUGUGUCUGAACUAUCUGAAAAAGAGAUCUCAAACGUGGUGGUCCAGUGUAGGUAGUAUUCUACAAUAAGCUGCCAUGGUUUGUGUCUCCAACUACUUGAAAAAAUAUAUCAAACAUGAGGUCCAUGCAGUGUAGGUGGUCUGUGUCUAAAGGAAGAGAUUAUUUCGCUGGCCUCAGAGUGACAAAACGUAACAAAGCAACGGUUUUACUAGCACUAACCCUACUCCAAACACCAAUUCUAACCCUAAUCCUUACCCUUACCCUAACCUAACCUUACUCCAAAUUUGUUUUUAAACCAAUCUUGAAGAAAAAAGUUUUGACGAAAUGUCAUUCUGAGGUCAGCGAAAUAGUUGAUGCCGUGUCUAAACUAUCUGGAAAAGAUAUAUGUAACGUGGUGGUCCAGUGUAGGUCGUAUUCUAAAAAAAAAACAGGCGUAGUUUGAGUGUGAACUUUCUGAAAAAGAUAUCUCAAACGUGGUGGUUCAAUGUAGGUAGUGUUUUACAAUAAACUGACGUAGUUUGUUACUGAACUAUACUUCAGGAAUAUUCGACGUUUCAAUUGGAGACGUCUCUUCGGCAGGAAGCCACCAUAUAGUCUCUUUCAGUGUAGUUUAGACACAAAAACCGCGACGGAAACGUAUACACUACGAGCAAAACAAUUUUGAGCUUCGUCAGCAAAUUCGAUACCGCGUAAAAGGGUGUGGUCGACACCAAGUUCAUUUACCGUCGAUACGUGUUCGAUGAAAAAUCUAGAAAACAAUGAUGGGAAAAUCAUGCCCUAAUUGACUUCUUCGAUAUUUUCUAUAAUAACAACAAGCUAUAUGAAAUUUUCCGCAGCUUUUUAUGUCUCAAGACAUCAUAUGGAAGUUGUUGGUCUAAUUGUGUUUUCACAGCGGGCUCGCUGAGUCCUGCAAAGCUUCGCUGUUAUCCGCGCGGAAGGUACUUGUAUCGCCGUUUCUAUACAAACGAUCUGACCGGCUAUUGUUGGAAGCGAUCCAAGCCCAAUUUAGAAAGCCUUGUUCGGCCGUGGGAUAGAACUAUUAUAGACCUUUGCACGCUGCUUUGCACGAUCUAUUUAAGUUUCUAGAUAGAUAGAUAGAUUGUUUGUUUAAUAAGAUUAACACAUAGCAGCCAAGAGGCUGAAUUGCGUGCUAAAUUUUACAAGAGAAAUGAUUAAAUUAGUUAUUCUAUAUUUACAUAUAGAAUAUAUUUACAUAUAGAAUAUAUUUAUAUAUCUAUAUUUCUGUGAUCACAGUAGGAAUUUUGCAUGGGGAAAUUCUACGUUUUGAAGGAUUUGUAAGAAAUAUUUGAGGAAACUGACUUAUGUUAAACACUAAGUCUGUUUCCUCAAACAUUUCUUACAAAUCCUUCAAAACUUAGAAUUUUACCUAUGCAAAAUUCCUACUGUGUUCACAGAAACUUUGAUAGUGUAAACCAUCCUAUAUAAGACCGGUUUCAAUAUUCGUUUACGUUCAUACACAUCUGAUUAAGUCCUAGGACUGGAUCAAAUUACGCGGACUUGAAAUCUAGUCCAGUCUUCAUAGUCUGAUUUGAAAUAUUACAUCUCAAACUCAUUAACAAUUCAUGAGUAAAUUAGCCAACCAUAUUGCUUUAUUUUGCUCACAUUAUAAUACUGAAUCCUUGGACUGGUCAAAAUUAAUUCACCCCACUUUAAGUAGUGAUUUAAUGAGUUUGAGAUGCUCUCGUCUGUGUUGUUGAAAUCGAAUAGAAUUUUUAAACGCGAACGAGGACAAGAUGUAUAUGUAAAAGAAUAUUUAAAUCUGUUUCUAUUUAUAAGAUUGGUUUAUGAACAAACAGCCUGGUAAAAACAUUUUCAAAUUGACUAAUUCUGAUUAACUAUAAAUUAUCUUUCGCGUUAAAUAUGCUAAUUUUUUUUAAGAAGAACGACGUUCCAGAAAUCCGAAAAUACGAGUUCGACACCGCUCGAGACAGCCAAUUUUUCGUUGUACUCGGCAGUGUCAGAAUGAUAUGAAACUAAUUUUUUAUAUCUCCCAGGAUGGUUCUGAAAUAUAAUAAUAUUUAAUAUUAAGAUAUAUAAGUUACCACAAAUUAUAAUAGCGUUACAAACUGAGUUACUGUUUAGAUAUAGGUUAUAGAAUAGUCUAUAUAGAGAAAGUAUAGAGAAAUAAAAAUAGAAUCAUGUCAAAACAGCCAGACCCAAAACCAUCCCAUGCAAAUUCUGCGUCCACCGCCAGGCUGACCAUGGACUAAUUAGGCUGACGGUGCAAUUUUGGGACGAAAUGAAGUCAUUUUUAUUUACUCAUAUUUUGGCGGUAGGAAAAUUAUCUCGGAUACAUUAUUACAUUACAGAUAAUUUUCCCACCUCCGAUAUACGAGUAAAUAAAAAUGACUUCAUUUCGUCCCAACAAUUGCACUGUCAGGCUCAUUAGUGCAUGGUCAGGCUGGCGAUUGUUCCGCCAAAAUUUGCGUAGGAGGCGUGAGUCUGUUGGUUUGUUUUUUUGACAGUAUUAUUAGAUUUUUAUUUUUUUCCGACUUUCUUUAUAUAGAUUCUAACCUAAUUUAGAAAUAAGUUAAUUAGUUCAUUUGAAAAUGUUUUUACCAGGCUGGCUUGUUGAUAAACCAAUUUUAUAAUGGAGACAGAAUUAAAUAUUCUUUUACAUAUACAUCUUAUCCUUGUUCACAUUUAUAAAAAUUCUAUUCGAUUUCAGCCACAGAAUCAGAGACGAGAGCAUGAAAGUUUAUUGUGAUGAACAUGAACGAAUAUUGGAAGCAGUCUCUAUUGUAUAUUGCGCUUUCUAUCAUUAAGCUAUCGAGUCAACGGGAAUUGAUCUAGACAUGAAGAAAUAUAGCCCCGUGAAGUUCGCAAAUUUUUUAUAUAUUUGCAUUACAAAAUUUGCGAACUUCGCAGGGCUAUAUUUUCUUCAUUUUACAACAUUUCGCAACCAAUCUUUGCAGUUUUACUCAUUCUAAGACGCUCUUUCUAGCUGUGGUGUUGGAUUUCGUUCUUCUUGCCUUGAUCAAAAUUUAGUCUAUGACUGGAAUCACCCAUUUAAGUGCACGAAAUGCUAAUUGUCUUGGUGGACGCGCAGAGUUUCAAUUCUAUUUCCGAAACAUCCUCAAAAAUUUUUCCAAACUCUUGAACGGGAUUCGAAUCCCUUGUCAGAAUAAUAUAUAUAGCCCGAUAGGUUUGCUACAGAACCUGGUUAAUAACAGUGCUUUAUGCUGUGACGAGUUUAUUCUGUAAUAAUAUUCGAAUGAUAAUAACCCCCUUACCCUAACUGCUGACUCUAACCCGUAAACAACUGAUGAGACUUUGCCCCGUUGGAGACUGUUUGCAUAAUUAGCAUAAUUAGGAUGUAUCGAGAUCACGUAUAACCUAAAACAAACACAUCGUAGACUGUGGUUUUUAUUUCACAUGCAGGUUUGGGAAACUGUGAUCUACGUAAACUGAGACACGCCUUGGCCAGGCUGUCUUUAUAAGCUGCUGCGAAUCGUAGAAAGGUAUCAGUCUUUGAGGAGACCGCGUAGAAGUGGUUACAAUAAAGAUAGGACGCAAUUGAGGAGAACUGAGAAUUUGGAGAAAGAUUUUACACAAAAAAG
This is a non-coding RNA of Paramuricea clavata, 21886 nucleotides long. The record is from the annotation of a GenBank genome assembly. NCBI's taxonomy places the organism in Eukaryota, Metazoa, Cnidaria, Anthozoa, Malacalcyonacea, Plexauridae.